Molecule: long non-coding RNA, 347 nt
Filed under: Setaria viridis
Lineage: Eukaryota; Viridiplantae; Streptophyta; Magnoliopsida; Poales; Poaceae
Description: long non-coding RNA (SVIR_LNC009281)
Source: RNAcentral
UCACAGCCAAUAUUGCUGGAGAAGAGACCAAAGCUCAAAGAACUCAACGGUGUGCAAGAAACGACGCAAGGGUAGAGCGCCGCCGCCACCUUGCAGUGGACCUACCAAUCAUGAACCUGGAUAAUGCUUUUGAAGCAGUUCAAAUGCGUCACCAUCGUAGUACCCUCGCCACCAUCGCAUCUAUUGAUCUCAUUACAAGUGCCAUGUCGCAGAACAAGUACACCAGACAGUUGGCUGAACUGGCAGAAUGCGCGUACGAACAACUUGAUCAACAAAAUCUGAUACAAUCAGUCCAACACACCCCAUCCCAGUGCACUCAACAUGACAGUAGUCACAUAGGCCCUCCG